AUGCAGCGACGCCGCGUGAGGGAUGACGGCCUUCGGGUUGUAAACCUCUUUCAGUAGGGAAGAAGCGAAAGUGACGGUACCUGCAGAAGAAGCACCGGCUAACUACGUGCCAGCAGCCGCGGUAAUACGUAGGGUGCGAGCGUUAUCCGGRAUUAUUGGGCGUAAAGAGCUCGUAGGCGGUUUGUCGCGUCUGUCGUGAAAGUCCGGGGCUUAACCCCGGAUCUGCGGUGGGUACGGGCAGACUAGAGUGCAGUAGGGGAGACUGGAAUUCCUGGUGUAGCGGUGGAAUGCGCAGAUAUCAGGAGGAACACCGAUGGCGAAGGCAGGUCUCUGGGCUGUAACUGACGCUGAGGAGCGAAAGCAUGGGGAGCGAACAGGAUUAGAUACCCUGGUAGUCCAUGCCGUAAACGUUGGGCACUAGGUGUGGGGACCAUUCCACGGUUUCCGCGCCGCAGCUAACGCAUUAAGUGCCCCGCCUGGGGAGUACGGCCGCAAGGCUAAAACUCAAAGGAAUUGACGGGGGCCCGCACAAGCGGCGGAGCAUGCGGAUUAAUUCGAUGCAACGCGAAGAACCUUACCAAGGCUUGACAUGUUCUCGAUCGCCGUAGAGAUACGGUUUCCCCUUUGGGGCGGGUUCACAGGUGGUGCAUGGUUGUCGUCAGCUCGUGUCGUGAGAUGUUGGGUUAAGUC
This 690-nucleotide ribosomal RNA is filed under the name Micrococcus luteus. RNAcentral's name for it is "bacterial SSU rRNA". It matches the Rfam family "Bacterial small subunit ribosomal RNA", at positions 386 to 1086 of the family's 1533-position model. Lineage: Bacteria; Bacillati; Actinomycetota; Actinomycetes; Micrococcales; Micrococcaceae. The record is from RNAcentral.